This 440-nucleotide ribosomal RNA is filed under the name uncultured bacterium. Its description in RNAcentral is "partial 16S ribosomal RNA". It matches the Rfam family "Bacterial small subunit ribosomal RNA", at positions 338 to 795 of the family's 1533-position model. The record is from RNAcentral.
CCUACGGGAGGCAGCAGUGGGGAAUAUUGCACAAUGGGGGAAACCCUGAUGCAGCAACGCCGCGUGAGUGAAGAAGUAUUUCGGUAUGUAAAGCUCUAUCAGCAGGGAAGAAGAUGACGGUACCUGAGUAAGAAGCCCCGGCGGACUACGUUCCAGCAGCCGCGGUAAUACGGAGGGGGCAAGCGUUAUCCGGAUUUACUGGGUGUAAAGGGAGCGUAGACGGCGGGGCAAGUCUGACGCGACAGCCAAGGGCUCAACCAUGGGACUGCUUUGGAAACUGUUAAGCUAGUGUGCUGGCGAGGUAAUCGGAAUUCCUAGUGUAGCGGUGAAAUGCGUAGAUAUUAGGAAGAACACCAGUGGCGAAGGCGGCUUACUGGACAGUAACUGACGUUGAGGCUCGAAAGCGUGGGGAGCAAACAGGAUUAGAUACCCCAGUAGUC